GCCCUCUGAGGUCCCUUCCGGCCUCGCCUUCGCCUGCCGGGCUCUGGUGGGUCUCCUCUCGGGGGAAGCCUGGGGAACUCCCUGCCCCGGGAGGCGGGAAGGGGAGGGAAGAGAGGCUGGGGGGUCCGGGAGGGAGGCAGAGGGACCUCAGGCCCUGGCCAGGGAGGUGGGACUGGAAGACAGGGAGGAGGGAGAAGGACAUUGGGAGGGAGAUUAUUAUGAGGGAGAAGGAUAUUAAGAGGGACAUUAUUAUGAGGGAGAAGUAUAUUAAGAGGGACAUGAGGGAGAAGGACAUUCGGAGGGACAUUAUUGUGAGGGAGAAGGAUAUUAAGAGGGACAUUAUUGUGAGGGAGAAGGAUAUUAAGAGGGACAUUAUUAUGAGGGAGAAGUAUAUUAAGAGGGACAUUAUUAUGAGGGAGAAGGAUAUUAAGAGGGACAUUAUUAUGAGGGAGAAGGAUAUUAAGAGGGACAUUAUUAUGAGGGAGAAGUAUAUUAAGAGGGACAUUAUUAUGAGGGAGAAGGAUAUUAAGAGGGACAUUAUUAUGAGGGAGAAGUAUAUUAAGAGGGACAUUAUUAUGAGGGAGAAGGAUAUUAAGAGGGACAUUAUUAUGAGGGAGAAGGAUAUUAAGAGGGACAUUAUUAUGAGGGAGAAGGAUAUUAAGAGGGACAUUAUUAUGAGGGAGAAGGAUAUUAAGAGGGACAUUAUUAUGAGGGAGAAGUAUAUUAAGAGGGACAUUAUUAUGAGGGAGAAGUAUAUUAAGAGGGACAUUAUUAUGAGGGAGAAGGAUAUUAAGAGGGACAUUAUUAUGAGGGAGAAGGAUAUUAAGAGGGACAUUAUUCUGAGGGAGAAGGAUAUUAGGAGGGACAUUAUUGUGAGGGAGAAGGAUAUUAAGAGGGACAUGAGGGAGAAGUAUAUUAAGAGGGACAUUAUUAUGAGGGAGAAGUAUAUUAAGAGGGAGAUUAUUAUGAGGGAGAAGUAUAUUAAGAGGGACAUUAUUAUGAGGGAGAAGGAUAUUAAGAGGGAGAUUAUUAUGAGGGAGAAGUAUAUUAAGAGGGACAUUAUUGUGAGGGAGAAGGAUAUUAAGAGGGAGAUUAUUAUGAGGGAGAAGGAUAUUAAGAGGGACAUUAUUAUGAGGGAGAAGGAUAUUAAGAGGGACAUAAUUGUGAGGGAGAAGUAUAUUAAGAGGGACAUUAUUAUGAGGGAGAAGUAUAUUAAGAGGGACAUUAUUAUGAGGGAGAAGUAUAUUAAGAGGGACAUAAUUGUGAGGGAGAAGUAUAUUAAGAGGGACAUUAUUAUGAGGGAGAAGGAUAUUAAGAGGGACAUAAUUGUGAGGGAGAAGUAUAUUAAGAGGGACAUGAGGGAGAAGUAUAUUAAGAGGGACAUUAUUAUGAGGGAGAAGUAUAUUAAGAGGGAAAUACCACGAAGCUUCCCUUCUCUCUCUAUUCAUAAAUCUCUGUAUGUCGUCCAUUUUCCCUCCCUAAUUCUUUUUUUGACUGAAAGUCCAGUUUCCGAGGCGUCUUCCAGGGCAGUUCCACCCAGAGGGCCUUGCCACCGUCCCCUCGGAUCCAGAGCAGGAAGUCCCCAAGGGACGGUGGCUGGAGCUAGACAUGGGCCCUGCUGCUCACCAAGCCACCCAAGCAGAGAUGGCUGGGUUGGGUUGGGGCGAAGCGGGGUGGGGUGGGGGGGACCCCCACUGCUGCCUUGGCUCCAGAUUACACUCACUUGUCAUUCACAGUUAUGACUUCUCCCUCCCCCUUUUUCCCCCAUACAGCUUGGAGUCUGAGCUGUGGUGCAAUCCAGCCCUGGUUCCUAGCAAGACUCAGCCACGCUUCCUCAGGAAACAUUCUUCUCCUCUUCAUCUUACAAUAGAAUAGUGUGUUUGAUUCAUAUGAUUUUCUGCACCUCGCAUUAGUACCCACAGAACUUGGCAGAGGACCAAGGGGCUCCUUCCGAUCUCUUGGAGACUUCCGGAGAGCCCAGAUGGAUGAGGAAGACUCAGCUGGCCCUGAAGCAGGAAGAGGCCAUGCCAUGGAAACGGGGAGCAGUGGGGAAUUCCGGGAAAACUCUGUGAAGAAGAUCCUGGGUGAGGAGGACACCCCUUGCUCAGAGGUGCAGAGCCAGCAGCUCAGGCAGUUCUGCUUCCAGGAGGCCAAAGGACCCCGAGAGGUUUGCAGCCAACUCUACCACCUUGACCAUCAGUGGCUGAAGCCGGAAAGGCACACGAAAGCUCAGAUGUUGGACCUGGUGAUCUUGGAGCAGUUCCUGGCUGUCCUUCCUCUGGAGAUGGAGAACUGGGUGAGGGAAUGCGGAGUGGAGACCAGUUCCCAGGCGGUGGCCCUGGCCGAAGGUUUCCUCCUGAGUCAGGCAGAGGAGAGGAAGCAGGCAGAGCAGCAGGUGAGAGAGACUUUCCUCUGGAUACUCCCAAGGGGCUCCAAAGAGGAGGGAGAGUAUUCCCAAAUCAAUUCCUAAUGGCCCAUCCUUUUUUGGAAAGCAUAUUAUUAUUAUUAUUAUUACACCCAUGUGGCUGGGUGCCUUCCAGCACAUAUAAAAGCAUAAGAAGACAUCAGAUGUCUUCUAAAAGUUAUGCAUUUUCUUAUCUCCUUAUCACCUGAUGGGAGGGCAUUCCCCAGGGUGGGUCCCACUGUGGAGAAGGUCUUCUGCCUGGUUCCCUGUAACUUCACUUAUCACAGUGAGGGAAUCAGCAGAAGACCCUCGGAACUGGACCUCAGUUCAUGGAGACGCUCCUUUGGGUAUACUGGGCCUUUGAGGCCAACACUUUGAAUUGUGCUGGGAAACGUUCUGGGAGCCAGUGAAGAUCCUUGAGGACCAAUGUUUCAUGGUCCUGGCAGCCAACCCCAGACACCAGUCUAGCAGAAGCAGGAAGCAGCUUUCACCUCUGUCCCCCGAAAGCGCUUGCCUCUGCCAUUCCUUCUCUAACCCUUCUCCCCAUUCUCUGUUUUGAAUCCUUGUUGCUCUUUCAGAGGAAGGAUCUUUUGGCAGAAAUGGGUCUUGAUUCUUCUGAGGCAGAGAAGACUCCGCUGGACGCCAGAGUGAGGCCUCUGGGUAAGGAGGAAGGAGUGUUUUCUCCCCCGUUUU
Molecule: non-coding RNA, 3097 nt
Organism: Podarcis lilfordi (Lilford's wall lizard)
Lineage: Eukaryota; Metazoa; Chordata; Lepidosauria; Squamata; Lacertidae
Source: the annotation of a GenBank genome assembly